CAAAAGCGUAUAUUAAAGUUGUUGCAGUUAAAAAGCUCGUAGUUGAACCUUGGGCUUGGCUGGCCGAUCCAUCUUUUUUGAUGCGUACUGGACCCAGCCGAGCCUUUCCUUCUGGCUAGCCUUUUGGCGAACCAGGACUUUUACUUUGAAAAAAUUAGAGUGUUCAAAGCAGGCCUUUGCUCGAAUAUAUUAGCAUGGAAUAAUAGAAUAGGACGUUAUGGUUCUAUUUUGUUGGUUUCUAGGACCAUCGUAAUGAUUAAUAGGGACGGUCGGGGGUAUCAGUAUUCAGUUGUCAGAGGUGAAAUUCUUGGAUUUACUGAAGACUAACUACUGCGAAAGCAUUUACCAAGGACGUUUUCAUUAA
This 364-nucleotide ribosomal RNA is filed under the name uncultured eukaryote. RNAcentral's name for it is "partial 18S ribosomal RNA". It matches the Rfam family "Eukaryotic small subunit ribosomal RNA", at positions 592 to 976 of the family's 1831-position model. The record is from RNAcentral.